RNA transcript from Ostrinia furnacalis (Asian corn borer), 1485 nucleotides. RefSeq lists it as uncharacterized. The record is from RefSeq and is a predicted model, not a curated record. The transcript has 11 exons. Lineage: Eukaryota; Metazoa; Arthropoda; Insecta; Lepidoptera; Crambidae.
AAGUGUGGCAACGUUUCGUUCCAUACCUGCGCUCCGCCCAAUAAGUUAGGGCGGGGGCGGGGGGCGCGCGGGGGUGCGCGGGCGCACGUACUUAAGGCGGCUCCCGCUGAAGCCCUUAUCAGUUGCCCUUUUGGUGUCGAACAGAACCACUGUGUCCACUGUCCAUCCGUGAUUUACGAACUUUUAAUACUCAACCGCAAUGAAUACGGUUCAGAUGCACGACCUGCCUCUCAGGAAACGUGGCCGGCCUCGCGGGCACAAACGCACUCCUCUCACAAAAGAACAGCAGAAGGAGCGCAACAAGUUCUACGAGGCACAGAGGCGCGCCGACAUUGCCGAGAAUUGGGCUGAGCUGGCCAAAAUGGUGGACCCUAAUAAGGAGAUCAAGCAAAUGCGCUACAAGGACGCCGCUAACUACAUCCUAGACUUGCAAGACAAAGUUCUAGCUGUGGAGAAAGAGGCGGAAAAACAGCGCGCUUACAACGGCGAGCUGCGGGCAAAAUUGGCGGAGCUGCAAGAAGUAGCUGCGUUUGACUACGGCCACACACAGGACUUUGGAUCAGUUCCCUUUACCGAGGAACAAAGCCUGACGUUCAGUGACAACUGGGCAGGACUUGGGAUGCCAGAACCACAGGAUAUUGAAAUGGACACUAGCUGCCUUCUACCACCACCAGACAACAACAUGCUCCACAACGGUGACCCUGUGGCGGAGCAGCCAGCGUGCACGGGAGUGGCGGCUACAGCGGUCACCAUCCAGGAGAUCCUCGAUUACGACUUUGAAACGGUUCCUUUAUGCGGAGAAGAACAGCAGACAGCCCUAGACAUCUGGACGAGCCUAGAAAUGCAAGCAUUGUCAGAGCUACAGGAUACAGAGAUGCCAGAGUUGCCAGACAUACACGAUAUUGACAUGGACAGCGUCUUUCCAUCACCACCAGCCACCAACCAGCUCCUAGACGACGUCACACGUGAGGGGCUGGCGGAGGUGGACCGGUUGGUGGCGCUAUACUUCAACAGUUGACAGUUGUGAGCCAGAACUGAUGGGAACAGAUAUUGGAAGCGCCGAAGGGGAAAUUGACUCCGAAGUAUAUCGGGUACAUGCCGCUUCCCGGGGGGUUAGGUUAAUUUGCAUGUUAGUGUUAAGUUCUAGAUAGGUACUUGUUUGUAAAUUACAAUAGGAUAUGUUGUUAGUUUAUAGUGUAUAUUUUUUCCUGUAAUUUUAAUAUUUUUUAUUUUAUUUUAAUAAACAAUUUUUAAUGCAUUUCUGUAUUUCAUUUUUGUACAAUAAACAUACACCACAAAUACAUAGCACUGUAGUAUACGGAUCUUUACCGCAAAAAAAAACAUUUUUCUGAACAAUGUUAAUGUUCUGGACAAUCAUUUUUGCACUUAAUUAAAUAUUCCACUCAACAUGUUUAUUAUGUGGGACGAAUACACCAUGAGCCAUAGAGGAUUUAUAGAGGCCGUGAACAGAACCUUAAAAGAUCU